AGUGGGUUUUACACGUCCUCCUCUCAAUCAAUCUAUCCCCCACCCCCCCCCACAACCACCACCACCACCCCGUGCGCGAUGUCGGCCGAGUCACUGGUGCUCGCCCUGCUGCUCCUCGCCAUCUGCGGAGCGGUGAUGCUACGGUGGAUCUCGCAGCGCCACGCUGAUGAUAGCGGCGUCGGCGACAAGGCGCUGGCACACAAGGGCAGGCUUCGGUUGUCGCAGAACGCGUCAGGCUCCGCGGUGCGUCGACGUGGCAGUAAGGACGAGAAUGACAGCGACCAAGUGGGCGUGGACGACGGCAAUGGCGGCGCGGUUGGUCGGCGUCGCAGAGGCGCAGGCGGUGACCUGCGCCGUCGUCGGCCUCAGGAGCGCGGCGCCAAUCCCCACCAUGGCGGCAGCGACGGUGAUGAGAACAGCUACGACGAUGACGACACCGGCGGCAUCCCCGAGACAGACGCGAACGGAGUGAAGUUGACGCGGCUGCAGCGCAAAAAGCUCGCGAAGGAGCGCGAGCGUGAGGAGCGCCGACAGGCGCAAGAGGCCGCCCUCGAGGCACAACGGCAGCGCACGGAUGCCAAUGAAUUGCGCGACGCCGAGGCCGCGCGGCGCGAGGAGGAGCUCAAGGCUGCCGAGGAGGCGGCGCUGCAGCAGCUGCGCAGGGACAAGAAGAAGGCCGAAGAUGAAGAAUACGCUAAGUGGGUCUCGCAUAUUGGCGUAGAGGAGCGGGGCGAGCUCGGCGACGAGGAGCGAGAGCGGCAGACGCGCCUGCAAUCCUUCUUGCUAGACCGUGCGGCGCAGGUUCAGGCACGUGCGCAACGCUCCGCUGCCGGAGCGAAGAGUAGCCCGAGCGAGGAGGAGUGCAUCCAUGUGCUCAUACUGCAGACGGCGGCGCGCGACUUGAAGGUAUCCGUGGAGGAGCUCGUAAGCACCAUUGAGCAGCUCUCACAGGCGGACAAGGUGCACGGCGUGUUCGACGACCGUGGCAAGUAUGUCUUCAUCGCACCGGAGCAAUUCCCGCUGCUCGCGCAGUUCAUUCGGCUGCGCGGGCGCGUGUCGGUGCAGGAGUUCACGCGCGAGUGUAACCGAAUCGUCAUGCAGUCGUAGAGUCGCUGACUGAUGAUGCGUGGGUGCGGGGAAGGGUGGAUAGGCGGGGGAGGCAGACACAGAGAGGGAGGAGGGAGAGUUCGACGACUAGGCACGUGUCUUGCGCAACAAUAUUGGCUGCCGAGUCGUGUACCCUUGUCGAUGAUCAUGUGCGUUGCUGGCGUGAUUGUCUUAGGCGGCCUCUGCCGCCAUGUUCGUUCGCGGGCAGUAUGGGAUGAUCAGCAGCAUCGGCGAACCCUCUCCGCAGCCCCACCCCGCCUCUCUCUCCUCCGCCCCCACACAAACCCCGUCAGCUCCGCCUGGUGCGAAUCCUGCUGCUGGUGGUGCUUCGCACGUCGCUGGCGUCCGUCACGUUUGCAGAUGCUGCUGCUUGUCUCACACGAUGCUGUUGUGUGCCUUUUC
RNAcentral lists this unclassified non-coding RNA (1509 nucleotides) under Leishmania donovani. RNAcentral's name for it is "gene:LdHU3.03.0330(CDS-product:DDRGK_domain_conta ining_protein_putative)". Lineage: Eukaryota; Euglenozoa; Kinetoplastea; Trypanosomatida; Trypanosomatidae. The record is from RNAcentral.